RNAcentral lists this unclassified non-coding RNA (210 nucleotides) under Hevea brasiliensis (rubber tree). Lineage: Eukaryota; Viridiplantae; Streptophyta; Magnoliopsida; Malpighiales; Euphorbiaceae. The record is from RNAcentral.
AAAAAAAAAAAGAAAAUAAAGAAAGAAAAAAGAGUUACUGUGUUGCGUAGGUAGUAGUGGAGGGUAGUGGAAUAUGGAGUUUUAAGUAGUGAUUUCGAAUGAUUUUAUUGGUUCUCUAUGCUUUUCAUAAGAUAAGGACUCAUCCAUCAAGGAAUCAGCUGUCACAGCUGAUAUGCAUACAGACAGAGAGAAAGAGGGUCCUUGGUGGGG